This 433-nucleotide unclassified non-coding RNA is filed under the name soil metagenome. RNAcentral's name for it is "partial contains 5.8S ribosomal RNA, internal transcribed spacer 2, and large subunit ribosomal RNA". The stretch from base 1 to 120 matches the Rfam family "5.8S ribosomal RNA", at positions 35 to 154 of the family's 154-position model. The record is from RNAcentral.
GAUGAAGAACGUAGUGAAAUGCGAUACGUAAUGUGAAUUGCAGAAUUCAGUGAAUCAUCGAAUCUUUGAACGCAUAUUGCGCUCUCUGGUAUUCCGGAGAGCAUGCUUGUUUGAGUAUCAGUAAACACCUCAACUUCCAUAUCUUUUUUGAAAUGGGAGUUGGACUUGAGUGAUCCCAACGCUUUUCCUCACCGAAAAGUGGCGGGUUACUUGAAAUGCAGGUACAGCUGGACUUUUCUCUGAGCUAUAAGCAUAUCUAUUUAGUCUGCCUAAAAAACAGAUUAUUACCUUUGCUGCAGCUAACAUAAAGGAGAUUAGUUCUUGUGCUGACUGAUGCAGGAUUCACAAAGACAGGCUUCGGCCGACUUUGUAAACUCGAUCUCAAAUCAAGUAAGACUACCCGCUGAACUUAAGCAUAUCAAUAAGCGGAGGA